This 7900-nucleotide long non-coding RNA is filed under the name Ricinus communis (castor bean). RNAcentral describes it as "long non-coding RNA (RCOM_LNC000527)". Lineage: Eukaryota; Viridiplantae; Streptophyta; Magnoliopsida; Malpighiales; Euphorbiaceae. The record is from RNAcentral.
CCGCCAUUCCUAGUUCCUUUUACGAAUAGUUCGUUGCAUUCUUCAGUAGACUUGUACACUUUGAGUCUGGAUUCAUGAAAACCCAACCCUUUUAGGAUUCCCAAAACAAAAGAACCUUGCAGGUAGCCUACGUUAUCUUCAUUGCUAAUGAGCUGAUGAACAUCAGUCACAGUAGGCAUGAGCUGCUGGACUGUCAGGAGACUUGUUAAACUGGCCGUGUAGCUUUGAGUCAGAAUCAAUACAACGAAACACCAUAUGAUUACUACUGAUCUAGCCAAGUUGCUAACCACUCUUUCCCCUGUUAUAAAUACAAAGAACAAAGAGUAUCAGUUCAAUUUGUACCAACAGUUAAAAGCUCAAAUUAGUUGUGAGAAUUCAGAAGGGGUAGGAGAAUUACGAUGGGCAAAAACCAUGGUCGAGAAGGAAAACCAGAACGCAGUUCCAGCUUGAUGUGAUGGUGGUCCUCUAAAGUCUUGAUUUAUCCUGUGUUCAAGAACCCAGACCACAAAACCAAUGAAAACAAAGAAACAGAAGCUUGUUACCCAAAGAUCCCAUGUUAAAGGCUUCAAGAAAACCCAUGCAUUUUUACUAUUGUUGUCUUUGAUUGGCACUAUCAUUGAUACUCCUGAUUCUGUGUAAGGAAAUGUGAAGUCCACAUACAAGGACCUGUUUGCGAUUAUAGUUGUAUCUCCCACCACAGCAUCAAAUUUCUGUGAUGAAAGAAUAAGAAAAAAAGUGACAGAAAAUUAUGCUCAUGCCUCAGCCGUAUGAGGAAUUUAUGUCAUAUCAGCACAAAAAUGAUUAGAAGUUACCCCAGUGUACACUUGAUAGACUAGAUCAUCAUAAGUUCCUGCACUGCUUCCAUCAGGAUUGGCAAAGGGGAUGUAUUCAUAAGUCACAGUAUAAGGUAAUGCUUUCACUACAGCAUCAAAAACAUCAAUGCAGUAGCCUCUGACAGUUGUGAUAUUAGUACUAGGAUCUCUUGUCACCUUUACAAAUUCACUAAAACCUUCUUUCACUGGCACUAGAAUUCGCAACUUCUUCCCUUUUGUUGGAAUCUCCCAUCCCUUGGGAACAGAAGAUGAAUCCCCAGGCCAUAUCACUGGUGCAAGAUUGGAUUCAGAAGUAGAAUACAAAUUUGUGACUGCCACUGAGUUCAAUUUCUUGGUAAGUCCCUUUUGGGGUGUCCAAAAUCCAAGUCCUCUUGCUCCAUCACCAAUUACAUUAAUUAUCUGGAAAGCCGACGAUGGUAGCUGCCCAUUAACGAAAAGGAAAUCUCCUGCAAGGCCUUUGAAGCCAGUGUUUGACAAUGCCUGAAGAAGGUCCGGACCAUUUAGAGAGACCCCAAAAGUGGUAAGGUCAGUUGUUGAAUUGCUGGAAGUAUUUGCUUUCUGGAAGUCAAUCUUUGCAGCCCCAGCUUUCUCGAUUGCCAUGGCCAACGCAAUAGCAGCAUCAUAUGCCCAUAGUUCGUAAAUGCUCGACUCAACAUCGACAGUUCCUGGGUUAUCUUGCAGGAAUUUGCUUUUCCAUCGAACGUAAAAAUUUUCCAGCUCUUUAGUUUUUGGAACAUAAGGUUUAACACCCAAUACACCUUGCAUUGAUUCGAUAACAGAAGGGGUUAGAGAACGCAAGUAAUCGGACAUCCCAUUUGUCAUGAUCCAAACAUAGCCUUCACUCAUCAUUCCAGCCUCUCUUGCUUUAGUGAGAAGCCGAGAGCCGAGAGAGGGUAGCAUGUGCAGGAUAAAAACUCUAGUUUGCAUACUCAUCAACUUGUAUAGCUCUUCAGCAAUUUGGUCAUCAGUAGCGAAGAAAGAGAUUAGACUCCUGUAAGGGAUUCGGGUAUCAAUUGCUUGCAAAGCAUCAGUUAAAUAAGGUAUGACUCCUUGGCCAUACUCGUUAUCAACGUAAAUGGGCACUGCUUCUCUCCAUCCAAAAGCUUGAAUUAGUGCAGCGAUGGCACCCACUUGAGUUGAAUCAUUUUGUGUAGCUCUGAAGAAAUAUGGUCUCCGGAUAGAAGUAAGAGAAGGAGUUGAUGCAGAAAAGGAUAUGAUGGGUACUUGAGCUUUUUGUCCAAGCUCAAUAACAAAGCCAGCCUGCGUAGAUGUUGUAGGUCCUAUAAUUGCUUGGACUUCCACAUUUUUUAUCAAGUUCAGUGCUGUGUAAAAUGUGUUUCAUAGUCAAUUCGAUAUUAUGGAUUUGUGGCGGCUUAAAUAGAAAGAGCAAAAAGAGAGACAUACAUGCACAUAUAUUUAUGUUUCUUUUUGACAAGUUUCAAACUCUAGUGUCUGUUAUGUGUAAAGAAUUAAGCGAUAUAGCCCAAAAUAAAUAAGCUAAUUACUAAUAUUUCACAGAUAAUUCAAUUCUUUGUUUUGUAGGAACUUGGGUUCAUCACCUUAUGCAUUUUGAUAAACAAGAUAUAUUGUAAAUUUAAUACUUGAAAUAACUCUCUUUCUAUUAUUAUUUCUUUUCUUUUUUGGUCAAUUUCCGGCUACGGUUUCGAUCUAAGACGACAUUUUUGAGUGACUUGGAGAAGGAUGGGCGAUUUAUGAAGCCUUCUGGUAUACUGCCACUGCGUGGUAAGGCAAGCAAAGCUGUUCGUUCCUUAUUCAACACAGCCGCUUAAGCUUAGGUCAGAAGCUGGCCACGUCAGGAUUAUCUAAGCUGCCCAUUUCAAGCAACCACACAGACAAGCAAAACAAGUGAAACCCAAACAAACUAGUAAUUUCAAUAAUUUUAUUCCUAAUCUAUUUGGGGAGUAAUUCUUAGCGGAUUUAAUCUUUAUAUUGACUUGAUUAUUUAUUAGCAUUAAUCAUUCAUGAUUAAAAUAAUUUAUAUAAAUAUUACAAAUAAUAAAUAUUAAUAUAUAAUUAAUUUUAUUUAUAUUACAUGAUAGAUUAGAUUUAUUUAAAGACUAUAUAAUACAAUUAGUUAUUUUUUAUACUCACACAAGUAAUAGCUUACAGAGUAUAAAUGCAAAAAUCUAAACUUAAAAUUUUUAUCCACCUAAAUUAGAUAAUACUAGUCUUUUGUCUAUGUGUUGCACGACCGUUAUAAUUAUUUUAAUUAUAAAAUCAAGUUGAUAUAUACAAUUUAAUAAUAAUUUUAAUAUUUAAUAUUAAUUUAUAAAAUUUUAAAAAAUAAUAGUAAAGUAAUUGUUUUUAAAUGUCUUUAGUUUUUUUAAAUUUUAAAAUUUUAUUAAUGCAUGAUAUAAAAAUUAUUUAUUAAUUACUUUUAAUAUUAUAUAAAUUAAUAUAUUAAUAUAAUUGAUAUUACUUAUUGUAUAAUUAAUAAUUGAUUCAUUAUUAAAUAUAAUUUAAAAUGUCAUUCUCUAGAAUUAGAAUUAUUAUCUAACUAAAAAAUUAAUUAAUUAAUUAAUAUAAUAUUAAAAUAUAAUUAAAUAUAUUAUUUUUAGAAUAAAAUUAGUAUUAUUAUAAUAUUAGAAAACUAUUUAUUGGUUACUAUAAUAUUAAAAUAUAUUUAAUAUGAUAUUUCUUAGAAUAAGAGUAUGUGUUUAAUUAGUAAUAUAUGUGUUUAAUUAGUAAUAUAACUUGUUAAUCAAUAGAUUAAUAGAAAAAACUAUAAAAUUAUACAAAAAUUUAAAUUUUAUAUGUCAAAAAUAAUACAUAUAUCAAAAUAAAAAUUUUACGUGUCAAAAAUUAAAUACACCUAUAAAAAAGAAUUAGGUCCUAAAAAUUAAUAUAUAUAGAUUAUUUCAAUAAUAUCUAAAUAUGUUUUAUAGGUAUUGAGUAUAAAAUGAUUCUGUCCAAUAAAGAAUUUAAUCUUUCUUGGUCACCAUUGGUGAAUGAGGUACUAUUCUUUCAUCGUCAACAUUAAUCAACAGAAACCAUGUAAUUAUAUAUAACAACAUUUAACCAAUCAACAGAAACCAUGUAAUUAUAUAUAACAACAUUUAACCAUACUGCUCAUGAAUCUAUAACUUGACAGGAAAAGUGAAACAUAGAAGAGAAGCUUGAUUUUUAGACUGCAUAACUAAUAUCUGUAUUUUUAUACAUGUAGAUAUAAAAAGUAUUCUUGAGCUUAAACUUUUGGGUUUCGUGAUUCCUUGACAACCAAGAGAGACUUUUCAUAUAUGCUUAAAAAAACACUAUAAAAAUCCAGAAAGAAGAUAGGGAGAGAAACCUGCAGCAGCUGCACCGACAACAUCCUCCAUGGAGUUCCUGGUAUAGAGGACCAACCUUGUCUUAUAAUGACCAUUGGUAGCGUAGAAGUCUGACAGGGCCAUGUUGAUGCAGCUCAACCAUUUCUUGCUUUCCAAGUUCUCCAAGUCAAGAACCACUCCUACAUUCACUGAUACUGUUGCGUUUUGUGCCAUCAUCAUUUCUGUCGACAAAAGAGAGAUCAGAAAGGAAAAAGAGAUCACAGAUCCUGGGUUGUUCUUUCUCAUCUUUUUAUUUGUAUUGGUAUUUCGUUGCCUCCAGUUCUAUGAGAUAACAACUCGAGUGUACUUCCUACGCCUGGUGGAAGAGCAUAUUGUGCUACUAUUUGAAUAUAAGGUAGCACAGUAGCCACAAAUCAGUGGCUACUAUUGCAAGGAAAUUUCAUGCUGUGAUUGCCUCAAAAAUUUAUGCCAAAUACACUCUCUUCAAAGACCAAAACAAAACUCAUUUAUUAUUUGGUAAUAGGUCACUUUCAGACCGAGCAGAGCGACUUGAAUUAUCACUAUUCAUACAUUCAGUUUCUGAGAUAGUACAACCACGACGAUUUGAUUUUUCCUUAUUACUGAAUGUGGCCAUAUUAUUAAGUGGUGCCUUCAUUUACCUUUGACCAAAUCAAAGUAUAUUGGUGGCAGAAAAUUACAUUUUUAGACAGUUCAGUUUUGUUUUUUUUUUUUUUUUUUCAAGGGAUGAAUGUAUCAGAAUUUGACUUCUAUCUUUGUCAUCCGAUAACCCAUAAUACUUAAUUGAUUUUUUCUUUUGUCUUUUAAAAAUACAACGACUGGGAAAUUUGUAUUUUUAGCUUUCAAAUAUCUAUAAAUUUGAGAAAAGAAAUAUUUUUAAACCAUUUCAAUUAAAUAUACACAUAAAUAAAUAUGUAAUAUAUACAAAUAGGAUGAUAAAAAUAAAAAUAAAAAGGCACAAAUAAAUAAAAAAUUUAACUUUUUAAUCUAGCUUAAUUAAAAUAAUAAAAUUUAUAUCUCUAUUAUAAUACCACAAAUUCAAUGAGAAAAAAGAAUAUAAGAAAAUCUAGGUUGUAUAUCUAAUUUUCUAAAAUCAUAAUUCCAAACAAGGAGGAAGCUCCAAGUUCUAGCCUGUCAAUCUUAAUAGAUAUUAAUAAAAACAUCAAUCAUUUUCUGUCAAAGGGAAAUAAGUAACAAAAAGCAAAAUUUUAAAGAGAUCCUUUUUAUUUUGAAUUUCGUUUUCAUUUCUCACAAGUCACAACAUACAAAGGAUUUUGGUUUGUGGAUUAGUCAAUUCAUUGGGAUCUUCAUACUCAGAAUCUCAAGAGAUAUAACAGUGAGUUUGGCUUUUUCAAUUACUCCUGACCUUUGUUAUACCACAUUUACUAUUCAAAUUCGUUAGUCUAAAGUCCAGAUUGAAGUAGGAUUUGGUCUCGAUUUCAAGUCGUAUUAGUUAAGGUAUGUAUUCGGGUCUUAUUUCUUGGCAACUCUAUUCUGUAUGUCUCUGUCAAUGAUCUACUAACCUUUAUCUUAUUGCAAAAGGCAAUUGCUCAGCGCUAAUGCCUAAUAGUGAUCAUUAUGGUGAUGGUAUAUUUCUAUAAGUUAUAUCUCUUACAUGUGUAGCUCAAGGCUUUCUUUAUAUAGUUUGGAGUUGAGAUUAAUAGAAAGAAGGUAAUAUAAUUGGGAACAAAAGCAUAAAUUUAUUAGUUUUUCCAUUUUUAAAAUGUAAUUUCUUGAGCUUUUGAUGUAAGCCUUUGUGGCAAAUGACCUCAUUUCAUUUGAUCAGAUGAAAAUUAGUUUGAUUCAGAUCCCAGAAAAGAAAAAAGAGAAAACCCUUUUUCUGUGAUGUCAUCAAGCCCCAACAUCUAAGAAAUAAUUUGUUGGAAACAUGUUUAAUAAUUACUUUUCCACAAACUUACCUCCACUUCAAUGAAGCAUCCUAGAAUUUCACAAAUUUGUUUAAUCAUAAAAUGCCAGAGAUUGUGAGAAGAAAAUUUCCAUAACAUAUCGGACUUUGAUUAAAUUAUGGUCAGGAUUUUCUUGAGUCCAAAAUCAAGAGUAGCAACUAGCGAACAACAUCCAACAAGGACGUUUACAAAUAUUAUAAUAUGAAGUCUUUACUUGUACAUAACGCACACUUGGAAUUCAAUGCAGCAAGGCCACCUUGACGUUCUAAGAAGAUUAGAUAAACCAACAACUUGGAAUUCUUGUCAAUUUUUCAGCUUGGAGGAGGAAAUCAAGAAACAAUUCCAUACUAUGGUCAUAGUCAUUAUCAUAUACACUCCUAGUACAAUAAUUUCAGAGCAGUAGCUUCCUUUUUCCUUUUCUUUUCUCAAAGGUGUUUAGAUGGCAUGUAACAGGCUACUUUUUGCAACGUUGUGCAAUUCCGGUACGGCUAAAAUUUGGAGAACUGCUUUGUUUUACCUGAAUCGUAAAAUAUGCUCUAUAUUAGGGCCUGAAAUUUAAAGCCUACCUUCGAGCUUUGCCUGGGAAUUCAAGACGCAGCCUAAAGGGAAAAUAUAUCAUUUUACAUGCAGUAACCAGAUUAACAAGGUCCUCCAAAACCUAAACGAAGAGACAUUUCGUAGUCCACAAGUAAUAAUAUUUACAUUGCUAAAAUCCUAGUUUAGUAUACAACUAUGGAUGAUGGUGUUACAAAUGUCAUAUAAGCAAUGCUAAUAAUCUACCAAUUAGUAGUUGUAACAGACUAUUUCAAGUUGUUGGCUAUUCUCUUGAAUCUUGAUUUGAGUUGACAAGCUCAAUGUUUAGCACUACUGCUUGAGUUGGUUGCUCUUCUGGAUUUGGAUCGCCAUAUUCUGCAGAAGGUGUGCCCUGUUCCCCAGGAAAAUCUGUCUGGACUGAAUAGAUUGACGGACUUGGAGCACCCAUACUUAUCUCAUUCGCUUCACUCUUUCUGAAAGUGUGUGAUUUCAAGUCUUUUUCGUCAAAUAUUCUCAACAAAUGAACAAUUCUACUCCAUAUUCUAGCUUCUGAAUCAGAACGCCUGAUAAUCUGCCAAUGCUCAUAGGUGAACAUGGCUCCGUAUAUCAUGAGAGCUAAAGCUGAAGCUGUUCCAGCAAUUAAAAAUAACCCCCAGAAACUUCUGAGACUAAGGCUAUUGGAAGAAACAGUGGUGCUAGGAUCUGGACAGCUGCUUUGCUUUCCAAACCAUGCUUCUCCAAUUUUCUUCAUGUCAUCUCCUUGAAUCACAUCCAAGAUUGCCCUUGAGACAUCAGGUACUAAUGGAGAUCUUUUAGGGAACACCUGAAACUCGCAAAAGAAAUAAGAAACCCAUGUCAGAAACUACAAAUGCACAAAUAAUCAUGCUGGAGUCGUCUCCGGCCCUUUGAGGUUUCUGGGUAGGAAUUACAUUCGGAUCUCAAACAAACAAACAAACAAACAAACAAAAUUAAAAAAAAAAAAAAAGAGAGAACUUACAAAUCCAAAGCCACCUGUCUUAAAUGUGGGUUCAACCAUGGUGUACUUGGAGCAAUACUGUGCUAAAAACAGCUUAAUAUAUGGUACUUCGUCAAAUGCAGCAGCAAUGCCGCCGUUCCUAGUUCCUUUUACGAAUAGUUCGUUGCAUUCUUCAGUAGAAUUGUACACUUUGAAUUUGGAUUCAUGGAAACCCAACCCUUUUAGGAUUCCCAAAACAAAAGAACCCUGAAGGUAGCCUACGUUAUCUUCAUUGCUAAUGAGCUGAUGAACAUCAGUCACAGUAGGCAUGAGCUGCUGGACUGUCAGGAGACUUGUUAAACUGGC